This 406-nucleotide ribosomal RNA is filed under the name uncultured bacterium. RNAcentral describes it as "partial 16S ribosomal RNA". It matches the Rfam family "Bacterial small subunit ribosomal RNA", at positions 29 to 526 of the family's 1533-position model. The record is from RNAcentral.
AUUGAACGCUGGCGGCAGGCCUAACACAUGCAAGUCGAACGAGCGGCGGACGGGUGAGUAAUGUCUGGGAAACUGCCUGAUGGCGGGGGCUAACUACUGGAAACGGUAGCUAAUACCGCAUACCCUCGGAUGUGCCCAUAUGGGAUUAGCUAGUAGGUGGGGUAAAGGCUCACCUAGGCGACGAUCCCUAGCUGGUCUGAGAGGAUGACCAGCCAACCGGGAACGGAGACACGGUCGAGACUCCUACGGGAGGCAGCAGUGGGGAAUAUUGCACAAUGGGCGGAAGCCUGAUGCAGACAUGCCGCGUGUAUGAAGAAGGCCUUCGGGUUGUAAAGUACUUGCAGCGGGGAGGCGGUACCCGCAGAAGAAGCACCGGCUAACUCCGUGCCAGCAGCCGCGGUAAUAC